Non-coding RNA from Erythranthe guttata (spotted monkey flower), 1028 nucleotides. Lineage: Eukaryota; Viridiplantae; Streptophyta; Magnoliopsida; Lamiales; Phrymaceae. The record is from RefSeq and is a predicted model, not a curated record.
UGAAAUAACGCAUUGAACAUCUGCAAGGGGAUGAAAACCCAAACCCAGCCAAAAAUUGCUCCUAGGCCAUUGAUUUUUUUCGUUUCUCUGUCGAUUAUUUGAUUCCCCGUCUCUGUAAUUUUUGCAAUUAGGUUUCGAUUCUGUUCAAACCAAGCUCUGGCGAAUCGUCUCAGUUAGGUUUUGAUUCUGUUCAAACCAAGCUCCGGCGAAUUGUCUCCGGCCGCGAACAGCUCAAAAUCGCCUUCGAUUCGCUCCAUUACCAGAUUAGAACUGGUUUGCUCGAGUGGAAAUCAGUCAGCAUACACGACAAUUGGACCUCAAACAUCUAAAAUUUCUGUUUCCAGAUUGAGAUUAUAUACAACUUCGGGCGGGAGGACAAUGACUAAGUAGGGUCAUCAUCACUGAAAAAUAACAAGAGGUGAGAAUAAGAGCAUAACAAUUUUAGGCGAGAACUAAGAGAAUUUUAACUAGGGAAGGUUGUUGCAUAAGCACUUAACGAGCGUACAGAAUUGUCGGUGGGUGAACUUCUGAGCACCAUUGGUAGACUGCAAACUGAGCAACAAAAGCAAGUUCGAGAAUUUAAGGUGAAAAAUGAUUGAACAUGAUUUGGAAAUUGCUGCAAUAUGGGUGGAGAUGUUGAGACGGCAGAAAGAAUUCAUCGAGUAUAGGAAGUCCACGCUGAAAAUGCGUAAGAAGUUUUUAGCUGGAUCCUCUUCUCUCAUGGCCACAUCACUGAAGGAGCUAUUUUUCAUCGAAGAUCUGGUGAAGAAUCAUGGAUACAAAGGGAAGAUUUAUGCAUCAGCGCCCUUAACUAGAGGAUGCGCUGAAGGUUUUGGACAGACGACCAACUUGAAGAUUACCUAUGUGGAGUGAUUUCAUAUUUCAUUAGAAUUUUGUAUUUCCAGUUUCCUAUGGAUUUCAAAAGUUUUGAUAUAUCAUUUUUUUUCUUCUGAAACAAAAAUGAAUACGUGUUACAUUUUCAUUUGCAAUCUAUAUUAAUUUUCGAAGAUAUUUUCGAAAAUUGUGAU